UGUGCCAUAUGUCUGUGAUGUAACAAAACACCAUCCCUUCUGUCUGGCAGUCACACUGUGAUAAUGCUGUGAGGAGGAGUGCUCUCUUUCUACCACUUUGGGAGCCAGGGCCCUAUAGUCUAUGUUGAGCUGCAUCCAAUAUCUCCAUGGAUCUGUAAUAACUUCAGCUAUAUGAAGACAGCAUCAGCCUUUUACAGGUACAGGCAAGGAAAAGAAGAAAAAGAAGAAAAGGAAAGGAAGGAAGGAAGGAAGGAAGGAAGGAAGGAAGAAAAAGAAAAUAACUGGUUUUUUUUUUGUUUUUAGUAGACCUCUUCCUCUCUUGACCCUUGCACUGAAAUAAAUAUAGUAAUAAAAUCCA
Long non-coding RNA from Pseudopipra pipra, 358 nucleotides. RefSeq lists it as uncharacterized. The transcript is spliced from 2 exons. Lineage: Eukaryota; Metazoa; Chordata; Aves; Passeriformes; Pipridae. The record is from RefSeq and is a predicted model, not a curated record.